This 955-nucleotide long non-coding RNA is filed under the name Vombatus ursinus (common wombat). RNAcentral describes it as "lncRNA (ENSVURG00010002227.1)". The record is from RNAcentral. Lineage: Eukaryota; Metazoa; Chordata; Mammalia; Diprotodontia; Vombatidae.
GAGGGUUAUCUUCUGUGGUACCAACCCAGAUUAGGAUUUGAAAUUUUGCUUUCUUUUGUUCCUUGUAGUUCUGGCCUCUUGACUUUAAAGUGUGACUAGCUGGUGUAUUUCUAAUUGACUUGCCUGGCCUCCUCGAAGGAGGCUGAGAUCAUCACUGGAAAGAUCUUCGGUGUUCCAAUGUGGAGCAAGAAACAGACUGAAAGCCUUUGAAGGGAUGAGCAUCUUUUGAGGAAGGAAGUUCUGCUCUCGUCUCCAGGAUGAGCACAGCUGUGUCGUGACCCCCGGGGUUUGGUGCGCCCUGGAGAUGCGAAAUCCUCCCUUGGUAGCAGGAAGCACACACCUAGAGGAUGCUGGAGCUGCAGGUGGAAAGGGCCCACUACCACAGCAGAGAAAAGCAAAAAGAAAAAAGGCCUAGGGACAGACAGCGCUGAGGGGCCCCCCCGCAGCUGUGACUGCCCCCCCCCCCCCCCCAGAGGAGCUUGGCGAGCCGUCCCCGUCUGUGACUGUAAGCUCAGGAUUCCGAUCAAUGCAUUCCAGUAACCCUAAAGUGAGGAACUCUCCGUCAGGAAACACACAGAGUAGCCCCAAAUCUAAGCAGGAGGUGAUGGUCCGUCCCCCCACAGUGAUGUCCCCAUCUGGAAACCCCCAGCUGGAUUCCAAAUUCUCCAAUCCGGGUAAACAGGGGGGCUCAGCCAGCCAGUCCCAGCCAUCCCCCUGUGACUCCAAGAGUGGGGGCCACCCCCCCAAAGCACUCCCUGGCCCAGGUGGGAGCAUGGGGCUGAAGAACGGGGCUGGAAAUGGUGCCAAGGGAAAGGGGAGAAGGGAGAGAAGUAUUUCAGCGGACUCGUUUGAUCAGAGGGACGCUGGGACGCCAAAUGAUGACUCUGAAAUCAAAGGUAUGUGGGCCAGACCAUCCAGAGUCCUAGGGAAGCGGGAAGGCCUCGAGGGAAGGCCC